UAUUGCCCUACAAUCCUGUAUUUUAUUAUGACUUUGGAUUUUUCUUUCCUUCUUUUUUACCUCUUUAAGAGGUCAUUUUUUAUGUUUCCUUUUGUUGUACAUGUGAAAUUUCUACUUCUUUCAUAUUAAUCAGCCUUCUUAUAGAAAGGGAAAAAAGAGGGGAGGAAUCAAUGAUACGGCUUCAUUGAGCUAUGUUACAAAGUGUCUCAAAUUUUAUUUUGGAUCAUAAUAGUAGAGAAUAUUAUAUUAGAUAUUUGUUUUGUUAAUAUUUCCUUAUAGAAAUAGAUGUACUUAUUGCAUAAAAAUAAAGAAAGGUGUUAAACAUUAUAGGUUUUGAGGAAAAGGUCUUAAGAUUGAGAUAAGUUUGUAAAGGCUAUUCUAGGUUUUUUGUGAUGUAUUUUUGUUGAAGGAGGUGACCAUGUGGAUGGCGAGUUGUCCCAAUUCAAAGGAAGAAUAGAGCGGAUUAAGAGGAAGCAUGAGUAGGAGCAACUAGCAGUAAUUUUCAGAGAACAAAUCCCUUAAAGAGAUUUUUUCAGUCCUUUCAAAUGGUGGUCCUUGAGGUCUAUUUAUGGGGAUUCCUUUUUAUAAGAUGCAACUAGAUGACACAACACAGACCUGUGAAAUGGUGCCGUGUAUACAUGGACUAACAGGGUGAUACGAUGUGUUUGUGGACUAAUAAUAUGCUGCCACUUGUGCACCUAAUAGAUUCAUUAGAGAAACAUACGAUGGUGAUAACUACAUGUAUCCCGCUGAAUGGUCGCCUUUUAAUUUAGUGUUUAAGGAGAUGGUUGUCCAUAAUCAAAUAGGUGGGAUAGGGUUUUUAUUGUUUUGAGGUUUAAGAAGAGGAAUAAGGUAUCUCCCUUUUAUUUUAGGGUUUAAGGAGAGGAAUAUGGGAUAAAAGCUUAAAGCACCAUAAAAUUGUAGAGAAAAAAAAUAAGAAGAUGAAGGAAUAGAUACCUUAGAUUCGCAUGCCUUCUAAGAGUUUUACCUAGAAGAAAACCAAUAGAGUUUCAUCAUUAAAAAUUACAAAAUAUGCACAAAAAAAAAAAACAUAAUAUUAUUAAGCAUCAAUUAAUACUUUGGUUUAUAUGAAUUAGCCUUAUUUAUAAGUUUUUCUAAAAAAUUGAAAGUUUACUAGGAUUCUAAGAACCUAUUAUGACUUUAAUUAUAAUUCUCUUAUAACCAAAUUAACUACUCCUAAUUUGACAUCGACAAAUACUAAUCCUAAUUUAAUUUCAACUAAUACUUAUGUCAAUCCUCACUCAUUCUAAUAUCUUUCACCUCUCAAAUAUUAGUUUCAAUUACAAUUAAUAAUUUAUCAUAAAAUAUUUUUUAAAAAAAAGUAUUCAAUUGUUAAGGAUGUUUACCUACACAAUAGUGGCACAAGGAGGAUGAAGGAAAGAUCUAAUAUUUAUUCAUUUAUUAAUAAUUAAUAAAAGUGGAUAAAGACUCUUUCCAUUUAGGGUAGGUGGGUGCUUGGUAGCAUAGCCAGUUGAAUUAGGUGGACCUGAAAACUUCUUGAUAUUUACUAAAAUAAACUAUUGGGGAAAACGUGAAUUUAAUUUAACCUUGAAAAAUAAAAUGAGGGUGAUAACAUGCUAUCCAAAAUUUUAGUAAAAGUAGGUGAUUUCUUUGAAAAGAAAAAUAGUUUGCUUUCAAAAGUUAAGAAGGAAGUGGAUUUUUGUCUUGGGGACAUGCCUAUUUUUGGGCGGUUUUAUAAAUAAAGCAAAAUAUCAUCUGAAUAGCAUUAAAGACAAUUCACUGAAUAAACAAAAGUAAUGCUACCAUUUGGUUUACAUUAAUGAUAUUAGGGUGGCCCAACUUUAAAUGUCUACCUUAAAGGGAAAAGGAAAAGAAAGAAGGGGUUAAGAAAUGAUUAAAUAUUUUAAGAAAGUUGAAUUCUUGGGAUCAUUGCAUGUCAAAGUGUCGAAGUGACAGGACUUUUUCUUUCUCUGUCGUUUGAAAUGAUAGAGACUCAUCAAAUGCUUCAGGCCUUUUAUGAAAAAA
Molecule: long non-coding RNA, 2007 nt
Organism: Vitis riparia (riverbank grape)
Lineage: Eukaryota; Viridiplantae; Streptophyta; Magnoliopsida; Vitales; Vitaceae
Exons: 2
Source: RefSeq, a predicted model, not a curated record